CACGUAGGGCGCAAGCGUUGUCCGGAAUUAUUGGGCGUAAAGAGCUCGUAGGCGGUCUGUUGCGUCCGCUGUGAAAACUCGGGGCUUAACCCCGAGCCUGCAGUGGAUACGGGCAGACUAGAGGUAGGUAGGGGAGAAUGGAAUUCCCGGUGUAGCGGUGAAAUGCGCAGAUAUCGGGAGGAACACCGGUGGCGAAGGCGGCUUGCUGGGCCUUACCUGACGCUGAGGAGCGAAAGCGUGGGGAGCGAACAGG
This 253-nucleotide ribosomal RNA is filed under the name uncultured bacterium. RNAcentral's name for it is "partial 16S ribosomal RNA". It matches the Rfam family "Bacterial small subunit ribosomal RNA", at positions 524 to 776 of the family's 1533-position model. The record is from RNAcentral.